AUCAUCACUAGCUACUAAUCUCAACCGAUGAAUCCGAGUGUAAUAUAGUAAAGUCUCUCGGAUUCUCGAUUGGGGUUUUGUAGUUAGUGAUGAC
This 94-nucleotide microRNA precursor is filed under the name Tetranychus urticae (two-spotted spider mite). RNAcentral describes it as "microRNA tur-mir-5737 precursor". Lineage: Eukaryota; Metazoa; Arthropoda; Arachnida; Trombidiformes; Tetranychidae. The record is from miRBase by way of RNAcentral.